AGUAAGAAUGUAUAGUAUUCAAAUAUAAAAAACACUGACUUUUUAGGUCAUGUUUCUCAUUCAAGUCAGAUGAUUUCCUAUUAAUUCAAUUGAAUAUGGUGACUUCAAUUUACAUGACGUUGUGAGCAAUCAAGUCAUUUAUAUAGAUCAGUGAGUAGUGCCCAGCAUAAAAGUCCACUAAAGGAGAUUUCUCGCAUUUUACCCCUAAACUCUGGAAUACCUAUGAAGGUAAAAGAGUAACAAGACUCGAGCACAAACAAUAAAUACUUGUAUGCUAAAAUUUACACUCACAGCUCCAACGUGAAAACCUCAUCUAAUAUGCAAUAACGUUGAAAAGAUCACAGUUUCUGUCCUGACGAAAAUUUUCUAUCUUAUUUUUUGCUUUGCAGAACAAGUUUGUGACUGACUUAAUGAAGCCAGUUUGGAUCAUGCUCAGAGAUGUAAGGGUUACAAAAAGUUAACCAGAACUCUUAUGGACUCCAUCUUGUCUUCAAAGAGAUGGCAACAUGAACGGGAAAAAAGGGGUUGUUGGUGAAAAAAGAGUCUUGACCUACAAAAGGUGCAGCUAAUAAUUGACUAUGUCAAAAAGAGGCACCCAGGCAUCGGAGGCACUGAGAUCAAGGUCUGCAUGGCACAAAAGUUAAGAGAUCUGAGGAGACGAGCAGAAAGGAUGCCUGCUGAAGGAGACACAAAGGACUGAGACAAUACACUUUUACAAAAGCACACCACACACACACACGCACACAUGCGUGUAUACCUGCGUUUUUUGUGGCUUUUUAUGUAUUUAUGUAUAAUAUGUGUGCUAAACAAAAGUGUAUAUAGUUUCUCAUUGAUAAUUGUCUUGAGAUAU
This is a non-coding RNA of Pimephales promelas (fathead minnow), 850 nucleotides long. NCBI's taxonomy places the organism in Eukaryota, Metazoa, Chordata, Actinopteri, Cypriniformes, Leuciscidae. The record is from RefSeq and is a predicted model, not a curated record.